This 1230-nucleotide long non-coding RNA is filed under the name Rattus norvegicus (Norway rat). Its description in RNAcentral is "long non-coding RNA NONRATT021769". The stretch from base 955 to 1096 matches the Rfam family "U4 spliceosomal RNA". Lineage: Eukaryota; Metazoa; Chordata; Mammalia; Rodentia; Muridae. The record is from RNAcentral.
GUUAUUAAUUGGGCCCUUCAAAAGAAACUUUGUAACUUUUUCUGCUAUAUUGUGAUGAGUUGAACUUGGACAUGCAUUUGAGCAGUCCGAGCUGUUUCUAAGGCAGCAGUAUUUACUUCUCUUACUGUAGAUAUGUAGCAGUGGCAUCUGUGUUUGUAUUGUGUAUGAAAAAUACCUCAUUGCUUUUCCUUCCUAUUCUGGGUAGCAGAGGCAGCAAGGCCAGUAGCUGAAAGUGAGAUUCUAGGCUCCUACUACCUUCCUUGACCCGGACCCCAGCAUGAACAUGGCCUGUAACUUUACUGUGCCUCACCUUCCUCCUCUGUAAGGGUAAUGACAGCAACAUCCUAGAAUUGCCUUGAGGUUGAAAUAUGUUGAUAUUUUGAAGCACUCAGAAAAGUGUCUGUAAAACAUAGUAACUCAACGUUAGAUAGCAUUCUCAUUAAUUUGUAUUUCCCAAAUCACACAGUGAAAAGGUUGGCAAGCCGGAAUUUAUCUCUCACCUUAUUCCUGUUAGUGCCUUGAUUUGAUUUGGCUGUGUAUCUCCCCAUGGUAGCUCAGGAGCAGAUCCUGAGUAGACAAGGCCAGGGGUUGGUGAACCACAGCCCGUUGGCCAGAUUCACAGCCCAUUUUUGUAGCCUAUAAGCUGAGAUUAGUUUUAUAUUCCUCAAUGAUUGCAAAAAUUAAAUAUUUUGUGACACAUGAAGGUUGUACAAAACGAAAGUUCCGUGUCUGUAACUAAAGCACUUUGAGAACACUAAUACAAACCCGUUUGAUUACAUUCUGCCGGUGAUACCUUCGCACGGUGCUAGUGAGGCAGACCACAUGGCUAGGAGAGCCUGAGACAUUGCUGACUCAGCACUUUACCGCAUAGGUCUCUGUUACUCAGGGCUGCACACGCUGCAGCUGGUCCUGAGCCCACUCUUCAAAAUGUUCUGAUUACAAAUGUGAUGCCACAGCUUUGCGCAGUGGCAGUAUCGUAGCCAAUGAGGUUUAUCCGAGGCGCGAUUAUUGCUAAUUGAAAACAAAUGUGAUGCCACAGUCUAUGGGUGGGUGAUGUCUGUGCAGUAUAUUUAUUUUGUGGAUUGUAUUUAUAUGUGAAAAUGCCUAGGCUUCGAAGUAUUUUUCUCCUAAAAAAAAUGUGGCUUUUUUUUUUUACUUACUGAAUUGUUAUGUUAAAACAUAUUUCUUGAUGGAAUGUAACAAAUAUAUGAAAUAAACAUUGUCUCAACG